GAAGAUUCCAAAGGAAUUGGGGAAGUUAACAUUGUUUGUACUUUCUCUUGAUGAUAACGAACUUUCAGGUGGCAUUCCUGAAGAAAUUGGAUUGUUAUCUGAUCUUGAGCGUCUUAACUUGGCAGCUAACAAUCUAAGUGGAGCAAUUCCCAAACAGCUUGGAGAUUGCUCAAAGCUAUUGUUGUUGAAUCUCAGCAAGAACAAAUUGGCAGAGAGUAUUCCUUUAGAGUUGGGCAAUUUACGCUCUCUUGAGAGUCUUGCUCUUAGUCAAAAUUUGCUAACAGCAGAGAUACCACCACAACUGGG
RNAcentral lists this unclassified non-coding RNA (306 nucleotides) under Hevea brasiliensis (rubber tree). Lineage: Eukaryota; Viridiplantae; Streptophyta; Magnoliopsida; Malpighiales; Euphorbiaceae. The record is from RNAcentral.